RNAcentral lists this ribosomal RNA (253 nucleotides) under uncultured bacterium. RNAcentral's name for it is "partial 16S ribosomal RNA". It matches the Rfam family "Bacterial small subunit ribosomal RNA", at positions 524 to 776 of the family's 1533-position model. The record is from RNAcentral.
UACAGAGGUCUCAAGCGUUGUUCGGAUUCAUUGGGCGUAAAGGGUGCGUAGGCGGCGCGGUAAGUCGGGUGUGAAAUCUCGGGGCUUAACUCCGAAACUGCAUUCGAUACUGCCGUGCUUAAGGACUGGAGAGGAGACUGGAAUUUACGGUGUAGCGGUGAAAUGCGUAGAUAUCGUAAGGAAGACCAGUGGCGAAGGCGGGUCUCUGGACAGUUCCUGACGCUGAGGCACGAAGGUCAGGGGAGCAAACGGG